GACGAACGCUGGCGGCGUGCUUAACACAUGCAAGUCGAACGGAAAGGCCCUGCUUUUGUGGGGUGCUCGAGUGGCGAACGGGUGAGUAACACGUGAGUAACCUGCCCUUGACUUUGGGAUAACUUCAGGAAACUGGGGCUAAUACCGGAUAGGAGCUCCUGCUGCACGGUGUGGGUUGGAAAGUUUCGGCGGUUGGGGAUGGACUCGCGGCUUAUCAGCUUGUUGGUGGGGUAGUGGCUUACCAAGGCUGUGACGGGUAGCCGGCCUGAGAGGGUGACCGGCCACAUUGGGACUGAGAUACGGCCCAGACGGCUACGGGAGGCAGCAGUGGGGAAUAUUGCACAAUGGGCGGAAGCCUGAUGCAGCAACGCCGCGUGCGGGAUGACGGCCUUCGGGUUGUAAACCGCUUUCGACUGUGACGAAGCGUGAGUGACGGUAAUGGGUAAAGAAGCACCGGCUAACUACGU
This 467-nucleotide ribosomal RNA is filed under the name uncultured bacterium. RNAcentral's name for it is "partial 16S ribosomal RNA". It matches the Rfam family "Bacterial small subunit ribosomal RNA", at positions 28 to 506 of the family's 1533-position model. The record is from RNAcentral.